CCUACGGGUGGCAGCAGUAGGGAAUAUUGCUCAAUGGGGGAAACCCUGAAGCAGCAACGCCGCGUGAAGGAUGAAGGCUUUAGGAUUGUAAACUUCUUUUGUGAGAGACGAUAAUGAUGGUAUUUCCUGAAUAAGAACCGGCUAAUGCCGAGCCAGCAGCCGCGGCAAUACGGAGGGUGCAAGCGUUAUUCGGAAUCACUGGGCGUAAAGAGUGCGCAGGCGGGCUUGGAGGUCAGAUGUGAAAUCCUGUAGCUUAACUACAGGACUGCAUUUGAAACUAUGAGUCUAGAGUGUGGGAGAGGUAGGUGGAAUUCUUGGUGUAGGGGUGAAAUCCGUAGAUAUCAAGAGGAAUACUCAUUGCGAAGGCGACCUACUGGAACAUUACUGACGCUGAUGCGCGAAAGCGUGGGGAGCAAACAGGAUUAGAUACCCCUGUAGUC
Molecule: ribosomal RNA, 440 nt
Filed under: uncultured bacterium
Lineage: Bacteria
Description: partial 16S ribosomal RNA
Rfam family: Bacterial small subunit ribosomal RNA
Source: RNAcentral